RNAcentral lists this ribosomal RNA (348 nucleotides) under Filobasidium magnum. Its description in RNAcentral is "partial large subunit ribosomal RNA". It matches the Rfam family "Eukaryotic large subunit ribosomal RNA", at positions 97 to 438 of the family's 3401-position model. The record is from RNAcentral. Lineage: Eukaryota; Fungi; Basidiomycota; Tremellomycetes; Filobasidiales; Filobasidiaceae.
AGCGGGAAGAGCUCAAAUUUGAAAUCUGGUGGCCUCCGGGUGCCCGAGUUGUAAUCUAUAGAAGUGUUUUCCGUGCUGGCCCAUGUACAAGUCCCUUGGAACAGGGCGUCAUAGAGGGUGAGAAUCCCGUCCUUGACAUGAACUCCCGGUGCUUUGUGAUACAUUUUCAACGAGUCGAGUUGUUUGGGAAUGCAGCUCAAAAUGGGUGGUGAAUUCCAUCUAAAGCUAAAUAUUGGCGAGAGACCGAUAGCGAACAAGUACCGUGAGGGAAAGAUGAAAAGCACUUUGGAAAGAGAGUUAAACAGUAUGUGAAAUUGUUGAAAGGGAAACGAUUGAAGUCAGUCGUGC